UGGGUUGACUUGCAAUACUUUUUUGUUCUUAAUUCCUCUCCUCUCCAUUUUGACCAUUUUGUACAUGAAUGUUCUAUAUAUGUUGUUAAGAUGUUCCCCAAUGAUGAUUGUGACCAUUUUUUCUAGGUGUAUGCAAUAAUGGAGAUACAGACAACUGAAACUUUAGAGAAUUCAACCUCACUUCUUGUUACAAGCAGAAAGACAACUGAGACUUUGGAACAACUAACACCACCUGUGAUUUCCCACGCACAGACAAUUGAAACAUCUGAGCCGCCACUGCCACUGCCUCUGGUGACAAACAUGCUGGAAAGCUUAUGAGCUUUUCAUUGAACAUUAAUCCAAGUAAGUUCUUAAAGCUUAUGAGCUUUUCGUGGAACAUUAAUCCAAUAAUUAUGGCAAUUUCUAAUUUUCUUAAAUGUCAUAAAUGAUUAACUUGUUAAAUAUUAUUACAAUUUACAAAAAGUAUUAAAAUUGAAAGGGGGGAGAUUAGCUUCUCUCUAUUACUUAAUAAAAUAUAAUUCAUAUUUAUUCUUAAUAUCCAUCUCUGUUACUUACAAAUUUUCUUAGUUUACAUGUGGCUGUAGAAACCCUACAAAGAUUACAUGUGGUUAUAAUCCUUGUGGAGCUAGGUUUUUCAACGAGAAAUACAUCUUAGGUAAAAAAAAUUAUAUUUCUACCCUUUUCCAAAGUGUUUUAAAUAUUUUUCAGUAAGCAAACCAUUAUACCCUUUUGUCUGUCUAAAAAAAACUAUUUCCUCCAAUUAUCGGUUUUAGUAUCUAUGUAAAAUAAAGAAAAGCACAACACACUUUCAUAAUUUUAUUGAUUGAGCAAUGUGUAAUUCGACAGAUAUGCAUAAGACGAAUCAGAAAAAGAAGAAGAUC
Molecule: long non-coding RNA, 881 nt
Filed under: Lactuca sativa (garden lettuce)
Lineage: Eukaryota; Viridiplantae; Streptophyta; Magnoliopsida; Asterales; Asteraceae
Description: long non-coding RNA (LSAT_LNC001033)
Source: RNAcentral